Molecule: ribosomal RNA, 406 nt
Filed under: uncultured bacterium
Lineage: Bacteria
Description: partial 16S ribosomal RNA
Rfam family: Bacterial small subunit ribosomal RNA
Source: RNAcentral
AUUGAACGCUGGCGGCAUGCCUAACACAUGCAAGUCGAGCGAGCGGCGGACGGGUGAGUAAUGUAUGGGGACCUGCCUGAUGACGGGGGAUAACUCCUGGAAACGGUAGCUAAUACCGCAUACCUUCAGAUUAAACAAUAUGGCAUUCGCGAGUAGGUGAGGUAACGGCUUACCUAGGCGACGAUCACUAGCUGGCCUGAGAGGAUGAUCAGCCACACUGGAACUGAGACACGGUCCAGACUCCUACGGGAGGCAGCAGUAGGGAAUAUUCCGCAAUGGGCGAAAGCCUGACGGAGCCAUGCCGCGUGAAUGAAGAAGGCCUUCGGGUUGUAAAGUACUGUUAUUCGGGAGGCGGUACCUACACAAAAAGCACCGGCUAACUCCGUGCCAGCAGCCGCGGUAAUUC